Molecule: transfer RNA, 72 nt
Filed under: Stegodyphus mimosarum
Lineage: Eukaryota; Metazoa; Arthropoda; Arachnida; Araneae; Eresidae
Rfam family: tRNA
About the family: Transfer RNA (tRNA) molecules are approximately 80 nucleotides in length. Their secondary structure includes four short double-helical elements and three loops (D, anti-codon, and T loops).
Source: Rfam by way of RNAcentral
GCCUUCGUGGUGUAGUGGUCAGCGCGCUCGGCGCGUAUUCGAGAGGUCCGUGGUUCGAGUCCCGGCGAGGCA